This 497-nucleotide ribosomal RNA is filed under the name uncultured bacterium. Its description in RNAcentral is "partial 16S ribosomal RNA". It matches the Rfam family "Bacterial small subunit ribosomal RNA", at positions 28 to 506 of the family's 1533-position model. The record is from RNAcentral.
GAUGAACGCUGGCGGCGUGCCUAAUACAUGCAAGUCGAGCGAACAGACGAGGAGCUUGCUCCUCUGACGUUAGCGGCGGACGGGUGAGUAACACGUGGAUAACCUACCUAUAAGACUGGGAUAACUUCGGGAAACCGGAGCUAAUACCGGAUAAUAUAUUGAACCGCAUGGUUCAAUAGUGAAAGACGGUUUUGCUGUCACUUAUAGAUGGAUCCGCGCCGCAUUAGCUAGUUGGUAAGGUAACGGCUUACCAAGGCAACGAUGCGUAGCCGACCUGAGAGGGUGAACCGGCCAAACGGAAACGAGACCAGGUCCCGAACCCUAACGGGGGGCGGCAUAGGGAAAUUUUCCGCAAGGGGGGAAGCCCGGACGGGGCAACGCGGGUGGGGGAAGAAGGUUCUCCGAAUGUAAAACCUUGGUAAUUGGGAAAAAACAAAGUGUUAAGUAACUAGGCACGUCUGAACGUAACCAAAUCAGAAGGCCACGGUAAACUACUG